Molecule: non-coding RNA, 211 nt
Organism: Hydra vulgaris (swiftwater hydra)
Lineage: Eukaryota; Metazoa; Cnidaria; Hydrozoa; Anthoathecata; Hydridae
Source: RefSeq, a predicted model, not a curated record
AAUGGAGGCAAACUUGAAAGUAAUACUACUGAUCUUUUACAUGAAAAACCUUUAAAAAGUCAUCUGUCAAAAGAAAUUCAAAAUCCAAAUGUGGAACUGAAUAACUCUCCUGCUCAGAAAUUUGAAGAAAGAAUAUAUACUCAGUGGUCAACAGAACAAGAAGAACUAUUGGAAGAAAUGUUUGGAAUAUUUAUCAGAGAUAAAAACCUUG